UACAGAGGGGGCAAGCGUUGUUCGGAAUUACUGGGCGUAAAGGGCGCGUAGGCGGCCUGCUAAGUCGAACGUGAAAUCCCCGAGCUCAACUCGGGAACUGCGUCCGAUACUGGCAGGCUUGAAUCCGGGAGAGGGAUGCGGAAUUCCAGGUGUAGCGGUGAAAUGCGUAGAUAUCAAGAGGAACACCUGAGGUGAAGACGGGUUGCUGGGCUGACACUGACGCUGAGGCGCGAAAGCCAGGGGAGCAAACGGG
Molecule: ribosomal RNA, 253 nt
Filed under: uncultured bacterium
Lineage: Bacteria
Description: partial 16S ribosomal RNA
Rfam family: Bacterial small subunit ribosomal RNA
Source: RNAcentral